UGAACGCUGGCGGCGUGCUUAACACAUAGCAAGUCGAACGAAGCACCUUAAUUGAUUUCUUCGGAAUGAAGUUAUUGUGACUGAGUGGCGACGGGUGAGUAACGCGUGGGUAACCUGCCUCACACAGGGGGAUAACAGUUGGAAACAGCUGCUAAUACCGCAUAAGCGCACAGUACCGCAUGGUACGGUGUGAAAAACUCCGGUGGUGUGAGAUGGACCCGCGUCUGAUUAGCUAGUGGCAGGGCAACGGCCUACCAAGGCGACGAUCAGUAGCCGACCUGAGAGGGUGACCGGCCACAUUGGGACUGAGACACGGCCCAAACUCCUACGGGAGGCAGCAGUGGGGAAUAUUGCACAAUGGGGGAAACCCUGAUGCAGCGACGCCGCGUGAGCGAAGAAGUAUUUCGGUAUGUAAAGCUCUAUCAGCAGGGAAGAAAAAAAUGACGGUACCUGACUAAGAAGCCCCGGCUAACUACGUG
This 479-nucleotide ribosomal RNA is filed under the name uncultured bacterium. Its description in RNAcentral is "bacterial SSU rRNA". It matches the Rfam family "Bacterial small subunit ribosomal RNA", at positions 30 to 507 of the family's 1533-position model. The record is from RNAcentral.